UGCGCCCAUAGCUCAACUGGAUAGAGCACCAGCCUACGGAGCUGGUUGUUGCAGGUUCGACCCCUGCUGGGCGCAU
Molecule: transfer RNA, 76 nt
Filed under: Candidatus Omnitrophica bacterium ADurb.Bin205
Lineage: Bacteria; Pseudomonadati; Candidatus Omnitrophota
Description: tRNA-Arg
Rfam family: tRNA
About the family: Transfer RNA (tRNA) molecules are approximately 80 nucleotides in length.
Source: RNAcentral